This 99-nucleotide non-coding RNA is filed under the name uncultured Cellulosilyticum sp. Its description in RNAcentral is "SAM riboswitch (S box leader)". It matches the Rfam family "SAM riboswitch aptamer (S box leader)". From Rfam's summary of the family: The SAM riboswitch is found upstream of a number of genes which code for proteins involved in methionine or cysteine biosynthesis in Gram-positive bacteria. The SAM riboswitch acts at the level of transcription termination control. The predicted structure consists of a complex stem-loop region followed by a single stem loop terminator region. Lineage: Bacteria; Bacillati; Bacillota; Clostridia; Lachnospirales; Cellulosilyticaceae. The record is from RNAcentral.
UCUUAUCCAGAGAGGUGGAGGGACAGGGCCCAAUGAAACCCGGCAACCUAGCAGUAUACUAAGGUGCCAAUUCCCACGUAUUUUUCAUACGUAAGAUGA